ACGGGAGGCAGCAGUGAGGAAUAUUGGUCAAUGGGCGGAAGCCUGAACCAGCCAAGUCGCGUGAGGGAAGACGGCCCUACGGGUUGUAAACCUCUUUUUCGGGGGAAUAAAGUGCGCCACGCGUGGCGUUUUGCAUGUACCCCGCGAAUAAGGAUCGGCUAACUCCGUGCCAGCAGCCGCGGUAAUACGGAGGAUCCGAGUGUUAUCCGGAUUUAUUGGGUUUAAAGGGUGCGCAGGCGGGAUGUCAAGUCAGUGGUGAAAUGGUGCGGCUCAACCGUAGCAUUGCCGUUGAAACUGGCGUCCUUGAGUGCGAAUGAGGUACGCGGAACGUGUCAUGUAGCGGUGAAAUGCAUAGAUAUGACACAGAACACCGAUUGCGAAGGCAGCGUACUGGGACGCGACUGACGCUGAGGCACGAAAGUGCGGGGAUCGAACAGGAUUAGAUACCCUGGUA
This 454-nucleotide ribosomal RNA is filed under the name uncultured Paludibacter sp. Its description in RNAcentral is "bacterial SSU rRNA". It matches the Rfam family "Bacterial small subunit ribosomal RNA", at positions 341 to 792 of the family's 1533-position model. The record is from RNAcentral. Lineage: Bacteria; Pseudomonadati; Bacteroidota; Bacteroidia; Bacteroidales; Paludibacteraceae.